RNAcentral lists this ribosomal RNA (301 nucleotides) under uncultured bacterium. RNAcentral describes it as "partial 16S ribosomal RNA". It matches the Rfam family "Bacterial small subunit ribosomal RNA", at positions 509 to 807 of the family's 1533-position model. The record is from RNAcentral.
CAGUCGCCACGGGAAUACGUAGGGUGCAAGCGUUAAUCGGAAUUACUGGGCGUAAAGCGCACGUAGGCGGCUUUGUAAGUUAGAGGUGAAAGCCUGGUGCUCAACACCAGAACUGCCUUUAUGACUGCAGAGCUAGAACGUCGGAGAGGUGAGUGGAAUUCCGAGUGUAGAGGUGAAAUGCGUAGAGAUCGGGAGGAACAUCAGUGGCGAAGGCGGCCAUCUGGGACAACACUGACGCUGAGGCACGAAAGCGUGGGGAGCAAACAGGAUUAGAUACCCCCGUAGUCCCUGUCUCUUAUAC